This is a non-coding RNA of Phasianus colchicus (ring-necked pheasant), 275 nucleotides long. The record is from RefSeq and is a predicted model, not a curated record. Lineage: Eukaryota; Metazoa; Chordata; Aves; Galliformes; Phasianidae.
UCUGACCCCUCUUUCCCCCCCCCCCAGCUGGCAAAUCCACCUUCCUGAAGACUCACAUCAUCCCCGCGGGUUACGCCUACGUCAACCGGGACACGCUGGGCUCGUGGCAGCGCUGCGUGGCCGCCACUGAAAGCGCCCUGAGCCGCGGCCGCAGCGUCGCCGUGGACAACACCAACCCCGACCCCGAGUCCAGGCAGAGGUACAUCGCGUGCGCGCAGGCGGCCGCCGUGCCGUGCCGCUGCCUGCUGUUCACCGCAUCCCUGGAGCAGGCGAAG